CCUCGGCCUCCCAAAGUGCUAGGACUACAGGCGUGACCUCCUUGUUGCAGUUGGUUCAUUCCUGCAGUGAGCAGUCUCCUCAGGCCUCUGCACUUUACUAUGAUGAAUUUGCCAACCUGAUCCAACAUGAAAAGCUGGAUCCAAAAGCCCUGGAAUGGGUUGGGCAUACCAUCUGUAAUGAUUUCCAGGAUGCCUUCGUAGUGGACUCCUGUGUUGUUCCGGAAGGUGACUUUCCAUUUCCUGUGAAAGCACUGUACGGACUGGAAGAAUACGACACUCAGGAUGGGAUCGCCAUAAACCUCCUGCCGCUGCUGUUUUCUCAGGACUUUGCAAAAGAUGGGGGUCUGGUGACCUCACAGGAAUCAGGCCAAAAAUUGGUAUCUCCACUGUGCCUGGCUCCGUAUUUCCAGUUACUGAGACUUUAUGUGGAGAGACAGCAUAAUGGAAACUUGGAGGA
RNAcentral lists this long non-coding RNA (457 nucleotides) under Homo sapiens (human). Its description in RNAcentral is "HSALNT0310409". Lineage: Eukaryota; Metazoa; Chordata; Mammalia; Primates; Hominidae. The record is from RNAcentral.